UAAGGGUUAUAGCCCCUUCAAAUCCU
This 26-nucleotide transfer RNA is filed under the name Laimosemion kirovskyi. RNAcentral's name for it is "partial tRNA-Ile". The record is from RNAcentral. Lineage: Eukaryota; Metazoa; Chordata; Actinopteri; Cyprinodontiformes; Rivulidae.